AGGAUGAACGCUGGCGGCGUGCCUAACACAUGCAAGUCGAACGUCCUGUCUCGCAAGAGGCAGGGAGUGGCGGACGGGUGAGUACCACGUGGGUCAUCUACCGUGAGGUGAGGAAUACCGGCGAGAAAUCGCCGACAAGACCGCAUAGGCUCGAUGCAAGUCGAGCAAAGCUCUUUCGAGAGAGGGAGCGCCACACGAGGAGCCUGCGCCCGAUUAGCUAGCUGGUGGAGUAACGGUUCACCAGGGCGACGAUCGGUAGCUGGUCUGAGAGGACGAUCAGCCACACUGGGAUUGAGAACGGCCCAGACUCCUACGGGGGGCAGCAGUGAGGAAUUUUCGUCAAUGGGGCAACCCUGAACGAGCAACGCCGCGUGCAGGAAGAGGUUUUCGGAUCGUAAACUGCUUUUCUCGGGGAAGAGAAUGGACGGUACCCGAGGAAUCAGCCCCGGCUAACUACGUGCCAGCAGCCGC
This 471-nucleotide ribosomal RNA is filed under the name uncultured bacterium. RNAcentral describes it as "SSU rRNA". It matches the Rfam family "Bacterial small subunit ribosomal RNA", at positions 26 to 518 of the family's 1533-position model. The record is from RNAcentral.